Molecule: unclassified non-coding RNA, 244 nt
Filed under: Hevea brasiliensis (rubber tree)
Lineage: Eukaryota; Viridiplantae; Streptophyta; Magnoliopsida; Malpighiales; Euphorbiaceae
Source: RNAcentral
ACGGUUCUUAAAAAAUAUGAACCUAAACCAAACCGCAGAAGGACAGUUUCGGUCCGGUUUGAAGUCGGUUCCGAUUUUGACCGGUUUUGAUCUGAUUUUGACCGAACCGAUUUCGGUUCAAAACCGGACCGUGACCACCCCUAGUAUUAUAUAUCAUUUUAGAGUAAAAAAUGGGUUUUCCAAAUAAAUUAUAAUUUUGAAUAGGAAAAUUUAUUGUAUUAUUUACUAUUUUUAUAGGUAAAAG